Molecule: small nuclear RNA, 137 nt
Organism: Callithrix jacchus (white-tufted-ear marmoset)
Lineage: Eukaryota; Metazoa; Chordata; Mammalia; Primates; Cebidae
Gene: U4
Rfam family: U4 spliceosomal RNA
About the family: U4 small nuclear RNA (U4 snRNA) is a component of the major U2-dependent spliceosome. The structure of U4 snRNA from yeast and human has been reported.
Source: Ensembl
AGCUCUGCAACAGUGGGAGUAUGGCAGCCAGUGAGGUUUAUCACAGGUGCAAUUAUUGCUAAUUGAAAACGUCUGCAAAUACUCCACCAUGAUAACUUGAAACAUAGUCAGUUGGCAAUUUUGACAGUCUCUAGUGA